Molecule: ribosomal RNA, 477 nt
Filed under: uncultured bacterium
Lineage: Bacteria
Description: partial 16S ribosomal RNA
Rfam family: Bacterial small subunit ribosomal RNA
Source: RNAcentral
GACGAACGCUGGCGGCGUGCUUAACACAUGCAAGUCGAACGGGAUUUAGUAGACAGAAGCCUCGGCUAAAGAUUACUAAUGAGAGUGGCGAACGGGUGAGUAACGCGUGAGCAACCUGCCUAUGACAGUGGGAUAGCCUCGGGAAACCGGGAUUAAUACCGCAUAAAAUCGUAGAAACACAUGUUUUAACGGUCAAAGAUUUAUCGGUCAUAGAUGGGCUCGCGUCUGAUUAGCUAGUUGGUGAGAUAGCAGCCCACCAAGGCGACGAUCAGUAGCCGGUCUGAGAGGAUGAACGGCCACAUUGGAACUGAGACACGGUCCAAACUCCUACGGGAGGCAGCAGUGGGGAAUAUUGCACAAUGGGGGAAACCCUGAUGCAGCGACGCCGCGUGAACGAAGAAGGUAUUCGUAUCGUAAAGUUCUGUCCUAUGGGAAGAUAAUGACAGUACCAUAGAAGAAAGCUCCGGCUAAAUACGU